Molecule: non-coding RNA, 46 nt
Organism: Dictyocaulus viviparus (bovine lungworm)
Lineage: Eukaryota; Metazoa; Nematoda; Chromadorea; Rhabditida; Metastrongylidae
Source: Rfam
CCAACGGCCCUCUUUAGGGCCACAUCGAAAAUCGAAUACUAGAAUU